RNAcentral lists this ribosomal RNA (497 nucleotides) under uncultured bacterium. RNAcentral describes it as "partial 16S ribosomal RNA". It matches the Rfam family "Bacterial small subunit ribosomal RNA", at positions 28 to 507 of the family's 1533-position model. The record is from RNAcentral.
GACGAACGCUGGCGGCGUGCCUAAUACAUGCAAGUAGAACGCUGAAGAGAGGAGCUUGCUCUUCUUGGAUGAGUUGCGAACGGGUGAGUAACGCGUAGGUAACCUGCCUUGUAGCGGGGGAUAACUAUUGGAAACGAUAGCUAAUACCGCAUAACAAUGGAUGACACAUGUCAUUUAUUUGAAAGGGGCAAUUGCUCCACUACAAGAUGGACCUGCGUUGUAUUAGCUAGUAGGUGAGGUAAUGGCUCACCUAGGCGACGAUACAUAGCCGACCUGAGAGGGUGAUCGGCCACACUGGGACUGAGACACGGCCCAGACUCCUACGGGAGGCAGCAGUAGGGGAUCUUCGGCAAUGGGGGCAACCCUGACCGAGCAACGCCGCGUGAGUGAAGAAGGUUUUCGGAUCGUAAAGCUCUGUUGUAAGUCAAGAACGGGUGUGAGAGUGGAAAGUUCACACUGUGACGGUAGCUGACCAGAAAGGGACGGCUAACUACGUG